AAGUUCAUUGUCAUGUGUGUUUCCGGGUUGGCUGCUGCUCACUGUUGGUUGUCGCGUCCGUUGUUGAUAAAACAACUUGAAGUUAUAAAUCGACUCAUCACUCAUUUAAUCUAAACUCAACUUUGAAGAUUUCUGCUGGAACACCUUCCUGAAUUGAACAAGUUACCAUUGCAUCCACCUCCUCAGACAAUCCGUUACUCGACGGUCAGGUUUUUUUUUUCUUCCGGACUCCUGCACGGAUACACUGGAUGACGGAAGAUGGCGAGCUACCCACCCACCAUCUGGUGGUAGGAAACAGAACUACACUUUCCAUAUAGGAACUGAACAGACUCUGAGUAUCAAAAAAAGGGAAAAUAACUAUUCUCCCUUCAUCUUUGGACCUCUUGUGGACUCUAUUAGGUUUUGAAGUGUCACUGACAUAAGUGUUUUGUUUGUUUUCUCUUUUCCUGUUUUUUUGAGAACUUUAUUUAUUUAUUUUUGUUGUUUUGGUAUUAUCAUUAUCAU
Long non-coding RNA from Poeciliopsis prolifica (blackstripe livebearer), 504 nucleotides. RefSeq lists it as uncharacterized. The transcript is spliced from 3 exons. The record is from RefSeq and is a predicted model, not a curated record. Lineage: Eukaryota; Metazoa; Chordata; Actinopteri; Cyprinodontiformes; Poeciliidae.